GACGAACGCUGGCAGCGUGCUUAACACAUGCAAGUCGAACGGAAAGGCCCUGCUUUUGUGGGGUGCUCGAGUGGCGAACGGGUGAGUAACACGUGAGUAACCUGCCCUUGACUUUGGGAUAACUUCAGGAAACUGGGGCUAAUACCGGAUAGGAGCUCCUGCUGCAUGGUGGGGGUUGGAAAGUUUCGGCGGUUGGGGAUGGACUCGCGGCUGAUCAGCUUGUUGGUGGGGUAGUGGCUUACCAAGGCUUUGACGGGUAGCCGGCCUGAGAGGGUGACCGGCCAAAUUGGGACUGAGAUACGGCCCAGACUGCUACGGGAGGCAGCAGUGGGGAAUAUUGCACAAUGGGCGGAAGCCUGGUGCAGCAACGCCGCGUGCGGGAUGACGGCCUUCGGGUUGUAAACCGCUUUCGCCUGUGACGAAGCGUGAGUGACGGUAAUGGGUAAAGAAGCACCGGCUAACUACGUG
This 468-nucleotide ribosomal RNA is filed under the name uncultured bacterium. RNAcentral's name for it is "partial 16S ribosomal RNA". It matches the Rfam family "Bacterial small subunit ribosomal RNA", at positions 28 to 507 of the family's 1533-position model. The record is from RNAcentral.